Molecule: ribosomal RNA, 218 nt
Filed under: uncultured bacterium
Lineage: Bacteria
Description: partial 16S ribosomal RNA
Rfam family: Bacterial small subunit ribosomal RNA
Source: RNAcentral
CCAUCUCAGUUCGGAUUGCAGGCUGCAACUCGCCUGCAUGAAGCUGGAAUUGCUAGUAAUCGCGGAUCAGCAAGCCGCGGUGAAUACGUUCCCGGGCCUUGUACACACCGCCCGUCACACCAUGAGAGUUUGUAACACCCAAAGCCGGUGGGGUAACCUUUUGGAGCCAGCCGUCUAAGGUGGGACAGAUGAUUGGGGUGAAGUCGUAACAAGGUACC